GUUUGGGAAUGCUGCUCUAAAUGGGAGGUAAAUUUCUUCUAAAGCUAAAUACCGGCCAGAGACCGAUAGCGCACAAGUAGAGUGAUCGAAAGAUGAAAAGCACUUUGAAAAGAGGGUUAAAUAGCACGUGAAAUUGUUGAAAGGGAAGGAUUUAUGACCAGACUUUUUCUAGGAGGAU
RNAcentral lists this ribosomal RNA (178 nucleotides) under Heterotruncatella spartii. Its description in RNAcentral is "partial 28S ribosomal RNA". It matches the Rfam family "Eukaryotic large subunit ribosomal RNA", at positions 272 to 449 of the family's 3401-position model. Lineage: Eukaryota; Fungi; Ascomycota; Sordariomycetes; Amphisphaeriales; Sporocadaceae. The record is from RNAcentral.